CUUUCCCGUCUGCAGUCACCGCAAGAAUAGGCUGGGCUGGGCUGCUGAAGAAGGAGACACAUGGAAUAGAAUGGAGUUGCCCAGUCAUACUGGUUGAGACCUUUCUAUAUCAGAGCAGUAAGCCAGCCCCUAGACAUAAGGAAGCCCAGCAGAAGUCAGCAGAGCUCUUAGGCAAUUCACAGCUGCCUGCAGGGUGAGCCACUGAGCUCAGCUGAGCUGAACCUGUACUGUAUCAGCUGAACCCACAGACUCAAAAUCAUAGUCAAGAUCAGUUUACCUGCAGUGGAAGCCCCUGAAGCCAUGACUGGCAUGCACAUUGAGAAGGCUGUGUUUUUUUCCUGCCUUUUUAACAUGUCAUAAAAUUUUUUGUGAAAAGCUGGACUUAAUGUAUUGGAGAAUUGAAACUGAGUUGGAAGAUUCUGUGCCUGUUGUCAAGGUGACACUCCCCGGAAUUUUAAAGAGAAGUUUUAAAGUAGGAUGCUUUGGCUAGUAUUUGCAGAAACAUAUACACUUUUUUUACAUGAUAAGGAAAACAACAGAUAUUUAUUCUUCAUCCCAGGGGGAAAAAAACCCUUGGAGGAAUAAUUCAGAGGCAACAUCCUUAACGGGUGAUCAGUAGACACAAGACUCAUCCCAGUGAGCCACUGGUUCUGGCAGCUGUGUGACUUUGGACAGAGAUAUCUACAAUCUUUCAAUAUUGUUUGUGCACCAACUGCAUUCUCCACGUUGUAUUACUGCAGAUUUAUUGAUGAGUAAAACAAAUUCCUACCCUCAAGGAGUUUGCAAGCAAAAGAGUGAAAUGAAGAUGAAAGUGCAAUGCUCCACUGUCUUUUCGUGUGCUCAGAGAUUACUUUCUUAAUCUUUAAAAUGAAAGGCUUUUGCCUAAAUGACUGAGUGAUGUUGCACCUAUAACCCUAAUAUUCUUUGAUUCCCAAGGACAAGAAUCAGAACUAACAAGGUAUAUAAUGACAAAAGAAUUUUCAUUAUGAGGAACUUAUCAAGAAAUCAUAGAGUGGAGAGACUUGCACUAAAAACACUUAAAAUGAAUGGGAAGCCCGUCAGCAUAUUGUAUGUCCAUAUUUUCCAAAAAGAGUUAAGUUUGUAAGCUACUGCAUAGGACCAUGGGAAUUCUGGAUGUCCUUGGACUGUAUCACAUGUGGUUUCUUGGCAUCUUAGAUGAUGCAAUUUUUUAUUGCUUUGUCCGUGCAAUAAACGCUGAUAAAUUUUUCGGUUUAAAAUUUACCAAGUCUGCUACUGUAUCCCAGAAUUCUCAAUGAAAGAAAAUAUUUACAGUUUUUAACAUUACAGGUAGAAAAAGGAUCAAAGUGAUUUUCUUAAAUUUCCUUCUAAUUCAUGGAAAAAAGAACACAGUCAGUGAGGGUCUUUGCUCCUGUUCCCCAAUUUUCUUUGUCCAAAUGGCUCAGCCUUGAAUUCAAGAGGAGUGGUGCAGGAUUUAAUUGCUCCCACUUGUCUUCCUUGUGCAAAACUGCAGCUAGAAGAGCAAAUGAUAAGUUGAGAAUAUUUAACACUCAGCAACAAUACCAGGAACUUGUUCAAACUUUGUUUUUGAAGCUUCUUGACCUUCCAAUGAUUUAUUUCUUCCACACAUGGUUUCAUUAGAACUUCACUUGGAGAAGAAGAGAAAUAGCAAAUAACAGCAUCUUUCAUCUAUAACCAGAAUAUUCCAAGCCUUUCAAAAGUUGUUGCAAAAAGAAUAAAGUAUGAGCUACCUAGGCCUUGUUUGUCUGAGUCUUGCAUCCUGCUCAUAAAAGUAACACAAAAUUUUUUCAACAAGGACUAAGAAUGAGCUUAUUAUUUUUUAACAUACAUACAAUUUAUUCAUGAUAAUAUUGCUAGUAGAAGCCUGGAAAUAACUGAGAUGCCAAUAAACAGGAAAAUUACUAAUUAUAUCUAUACAAUGAAAUCUAUGCAACUGAUUUAAAAUUAAGGAUGCACCCUCUUAUUUUUAGUGUGUAUGUAUAAAUGGAUACGUGGUAUGUUGUCAAAGAAGGUUUAGAAGUUCAAUUUAAAUAAUACUGAAGAUACCUGCUAUUGUAUAAGCAAUGAAAAUGCUAUACAGAUGUUCUGAAAUAAAACAAACACACCCAUACUCUGACCACUGAACUUUGGACCAGUAUUGCUCUUCAUUAGUAUCCUAAAAUGUAUGGACAUUUUAUGGGUCAUUGUUCCAAACCUGUCUUUGGAGCUAUUUGGAGUAGCACAGAACCAACCUGUCUUUAGAGCUUCCUUGAGCAGCACAGAAAAGGGACUUUCAGAGCUUCAGGAGACAGUAUUUCAUCCAAGUGCAGCUUCUGGAAGUGAAAUGUAUUUAGAAGGUUUGCUCUGCUAUUGUAAUUUCCCAAGUAGGCCCAUGUGACUCUGCAAACCCUAGGCCUGAGCCAGAUUUGUUUGAAAUGUCAGCCAAACUACCAGCACCUUACAUCAUGAUAUGGUCUGACUCUGUGUUCCCAUCCAAAUCUCAUAUCAAAUUGUAAUUCCCAGUGUUGCAGGAGGGGCCCAGUGGGAGGUGAUCGAAUCAUGGGGGUGGACCUCCCCCUUGCUGUUCUUGUGAUAGAAUUUUCCUUAUAUCUGCUUGUUUAAAAGUGUGUUUAAAGGCACCUUCCCCACACUUCCUGCCAGCCAUAUGAAGAUGGGCUUGCUUCCCUUUCAACUUCUGCCAUGAUUGUAAGUUUCCUGAGGCCUACCCAGAAACAGAAGCCUGUACAGCCUGCAGAACUAUGAGCUGAUUAAACCUCUUUUCUUUAUAAAUUACCCAGUCUCCAGUAUGUCUUUAUAGCAAUGUUGAGAACAGACUAACUCCAUGAGCAUCUCAAAUGUCAUCAUCACAGGUAAUAUCUAUUGAGCUCUCAC
This 2871-nucleotide long non-coding RNA is filed under the name Homo sapiens (human). RNAcentral's name for it is "HSALNT0082342". Lineage: Eukaryota; Metazoa; Chordata; Mammalia; Primates; Hominidae. The record is from RNAcentral.